This 253-nucleotide ribosomal RNA is filed under the name uncultured bacterium. RNAcentral's name for it is "partial 16S ribosomal RNA". It matches the Rfam family "Bacterial small subunit ribosomal RNA", at positions 524 to 776 of the family's 1533-position model. The record is from RNAcentral.
GACAGAGGUGCCGAGCGUUAGGCGGAAUCACUGGGCUUAAAGCGUGUGUAGGCGGACUUCUAAGUACCUUGUGAAAUCCCCCGGCUCAACCGGGGAACUGCUUGGUAUACUGGUUGUCUUGAGCCACUUAGGGGCAGUCGGAACAGACGGUGGAGCGGUGAAAUGCGUAGAUAUCGUCUGGAACGCCAAUGGUGAAAACAGGUUGCUGGGAGUGUGCUGACGCUGAGACACGAAAGCCAGGGGAGCGAACGGG